Molecule: ribosomal RNA, 253 nt
Filed under: uncultured bacterium
Lineage: Bacteria
Description: partial 16S ribosomal RNA
Rfam family: Bacterial small subunit ribosomal RNA
Source: RNAcentral
UACAGAGGGCUCAAGCGUUGUUCGGAUUCAUUGGGCGUAAAGGGUGCGUAGGCGGCGCGGUAAGUCGGGUGUGAAAUCUUGGAGCUUAACUCCGAAACUGCAUUCGAUACUGCCGUGCUUGAGGACUGGAGAGGAGACUGGAAUUUACGGUGUAGCGGUGAAAUGCGUAGAUAUCGUAAGGAAGACCAGUGGCGAAGGCGGGUCUCUGGACAGUUCCUGACGCUGAGGCACGAAGGUCAGGGGAGCAAACGGG